This 307-nucleotide ribosomal RNA is filed under the name Clostridium botulinum. RNAcentral's name for it is "partial 16S ribosomal RNA". It matches the Rfam family "Bacterial small subunit ribosomal RNA", at positions 1 to 305 of the family's 1533-position model. Lineage: Bacteria; Bacillati; Bacillota; Clostridia; Eubacteriales; Clostridiaceae. The record is from RNAcentral.
UUUAAAUUUAGAGUUUGAUCCUGGCUCAGGACGAACGCUGGCGGCGUGCUUAACACAUGCAAGUCGAGCGAUGAAGCUUCCUUCGGGGAGUGGAUUAGCGGCGGACGGGUGAGUAACACGUGGGUAACCUGCCUCAAAGUGGGGGAUAGCCUUCCGAAAGGAAGAUUAAUACCGCAUAAUAUAAGAGAAUCGCAUGAUUUUCUUAUCAAAGAUUUAUUGCUUUGAGAUGGACCCGCGGCGCAUUAGCUAGUUGGUAAGGUAACGGCUUACCAAGGCAACGAUGCGUAGCCGACCUGAGAGGGUGAUC